This 500-nucleotide long non-coding RNA is filed under the name Marmota monax (woodchuck). The record is from RNAcentral. Lineage: Eukaryota; Metazoa; Chordata; Mammalia; Rodentia; Sciuridae.
AGGAUAUUGUGUCCCAGGGUUCUUUUAUUUUUAAAAGGAAAUAUUAUCAAGUUAUAGUGGAUAAAAGUGCAGCUGGACUGCAAAAGGGUAUAAUUCUUGUCUUUGAAAAAGAACAUUAAUUUUUUUACAUAUAGCAUGCCAAAGCAAUUUUUUUUCUCCUUCUCUCUUUUCCUUCUUUCCUUGCUUUUUUUCUGCUUUUCUUUUAUUUAUUUCAAUAAAUAUUUACCAAGUAAUAUUAGGCAAUAUUUAUGAGAUUACUUGCAGUCAGGCAGUCAGGCAUCUAGCAUCCGGAAGGCACCAUCCUCUGUUAAUUAUGAGGAAGCUUAUUGUUUGGCACUGUGGUUAAGAACUAAUUUGCCAAAUCACCUGGUAUUGGUUUUUCCCUAUAAUGAGCACAUAUACUAAUAGAUGUGUUCAAGCCCCAUGUAAAUGUUUGCUAUUAGCUCAUAUGUGCCAAUUUAUCUUUAUAUCAUCUGUACUUUGUUAUGAAUAAAUGAUAG